CCUACGGGAGGCAGCAGUGAGGAAUAUUGGUCAAUGGGCGUAAGCCUGAACCAGCCAAGUCGCGUGAGGGAUGAAGGUUCUAUGGAUCGUAAACCUCUUUUAUAAGGGAAUAAAGUGUGGGACGUGUCCUGUUUUGUAUGUACCUUAUGAAUAAGGAUCGGCUAACUCCGUGCCAGCAGCCGCGGUAAUACGGAGGAUCCGAGCGUUAUCCGGAUUUAUUGGGUUUAAAGGGUGCGUAGGCGGCCUUUUAAGGCAGCGGUGAAAGUCUGUGGCUCAACCAUAGAAUUGCCGUGGAAACUGGGAGGCUUGAGAAUGUUUGAGGCAGGCGGAAUGAGUGGUGUAGCGGUGAAAUGCUUAGAUAUCACGCAGAACCCCGAUGGCGAAGGCAGCCUGCCAAGCCAUGACUGACGCUGAUGCACGAAAGCGUGGGGAUCAAACAGGAUUAGAUACCCUUGUAGUC
This 460-nucleotide ribosomal RNA is filed under the name uncultured bacterium. RNAcentral describes it as "partial 16S ribosomal RNA". It matches the Rfam family "Bacterial small subunit ribosomal RNA", at positions 338 to 795 of the family's 1533-position model. The record is from RNAcentral.